RNAcentral lists this ribosomal RNA (460 nucleotides) under uncultured bacterium. RNAcentral's name for it is "partial 16S ribosomal RNA". It matches the Rfam family "Bacterial small subunit ribosomal RNA", at positions 338 to 795 of the family's 1533-position model. The record is from RNAcentral.
CCUACGGGGGGCAGCAGUGGGGAAUAUUGGUCAAUGGACGAGAGUCUGAACCAGCCAAGUAGCGUGAAGGAUGACUGCCCUAUGGGUUGUAAACUUCUUUUAUAUGGGAAUAAAAUGUUCCACGUGUGGGAUUUUGUAUGUACCAUAUGAAUAAGGAUCGGCUAACUCCGUGCCAGCAGCCGCGGUAAUACGGAGGAUCCGAGCGUUAUCCGGAUUUAUUGGGUUUAAAGGGAGCGUAGGUGGAUUGUUAAGUCAGUUGUGAAAGUUUGCGGCUCAACCGUAAAAUUGCAGUUGAAACUGGCAGUCUUGAGUACAGUAGAGGUGGGCGGAAUUCGUGGUGUAGCGGUGAAAUGCUUAGAUAUCACGAAGAACUCCGAUUGCGAAGGCAGUUCACUGGACUGCAACUGACACUGAGGCUCGAAAGUGUGGGUAUCAAACAGGAUUAGAUACCCCAGUAGUC